This 498-nucleotide ribosomal RNA is filed under the name uncultured bacterium. RNAcentral describes it as "partial 16S ribosomal RNA". It matches the Rfam family "Bacterial small subunit ribosomal RNA", at positions 29 to 523 of the family's 1533-position model. The record is from RNAcentral.
AUUGAACGCUGGCGGCAUGCCUUACACAUGCAAGUCGAACGGUAACGCGGGGCAACCUGGCGACGAGUGGCGAACGGGUGAGUAAUGCAUCGGAACGUGCCCAGUAGUGGGGGAUAGCCCGGCGAAAGCCGGAUUAAUACCGCAUACGACCUACGGGUGAAAGGGGGGGAUCGCAAGACCUCUCACUAUUGGAGCGGCCGAUGUCAGAUUAGGUAGUUGGUGGGGUAAAGGCCCACCAAGCCUUCGAUCUGUAGCUGGUCUGAGAGGACGACCAGCCACACUGGGACUGGGACACGGCCCAGACUCCUACGGGAGGCAGCAGUGGGGAAUUUUGGACAAUGGGCGCAAGCCUGAUCCAGCCAUGCCGCGUGCGGGAAGAAGGCCUUCGGGUUGUAAACCGCUUUUGUCAGGGAAGAAACGCUCUGGGCUAAUACCUCGGGGUAAUGACGGUACCUGAAGAAUAAGCACCGGCUAACUACGUGCCAGCAGCCGCCGUAA